AUUGAAUACAAAGAUGCAGAAGCCACCACCAGUUGAAGAAGUCUGUCAGCAAAUCCCUGGGACCUCUGAGCAGCUAUUCUGUUCUGAACAUCCCUAGCCAGCACACCACUUGAAGAUGCAUGGCUGAUCAGUGAGUGCUUUUAGCAAGAUGUAAGCAAGGUAAAAAUAGAUAUGCCUUCCUAGUUUCUAGAAAUAUUCAGUUUAAGGAUUUCAUAAGCUGAAUGCUCAUACACACUAGCAGACUUUUUGUCUGUCUGUUUAAAUAGUUUUUGAUCUGUGUGUGCUUUCAAGAUCCACAACACCUAAUGGUUUUGGCUAUAUCACAAUUCAGUUGGGUAGCAAGUGAAAAAGAUUUAAAAUUGCCUGAAUAUUUCAGUUGGCAGUUCUGAGUUCUUGGGCUAUAAGGAGUGGUGAAUAGUUGCUCCAUUCAUGCUUCUUUCAUUUCAGGUAGGAUUUUUUACUCCUGCGUUACAGCUUCUCUCAAUCGAAAUCACUUCACAAGAGCAAUUCUUCCUCCAGAUAAGUAAUGCAACGGACACAAAAAUAAUCUGUUCAGGAAAGUCAUUUAAGAGGAAAUCCCUUUUAAUUAAGCAUUGGUUAUAUUCUGCACCAAAUAACUAAAGCCUUCCAUCACUUGUGGAUGUAAGCACAGGAGAAUAUUCCUGUGAAAACACAAUUCCUUUUGUCUGCACCUCUCUGGUUGGUUCAAACAUUAAUGAACUCAUCACCAUCAGAAAACCAGUCAGCUAGCUGCCUAUUUAGGCAACAGUCUGUGUACCUAGAAUUGAACUGAAAUGAGAAAAUGCCUCGUUACAAGCGCCGUUUUUUAUGUGCAUGCUGGAUGAGUGAAUACUUUGGAACAAAUGCAUACUCUAUAUAGACUGAAGAUGAGGCUUUCACUAAAUGUUAAUAUUCACAUGCAAGGGAAGGAAACAGGGACAUUACACUGUAUGGAUCUGCACACUUAAAUGCAGAGCACACAUCUUGCUGACAGUUCCCACUUUUUUUUUCAAAAUUUGGAACUACAAGCCAGAAAUUCAGACCAGUGAGUGGGAAGCUGUGGAAGCCAUUCAAAAAAGGACCCCCUUCAGACUGAAACCUGUGGAGAUAAAAGGGAACAUUGCUGCAGCCAGACACAACCCUCUGCCUUUGCCAAGGCAGAAGAAAGGCUGGAAGCAGAGAAAGGAACACAGUGUCCUCCUUACACAACCCGUUAACACCAGGAAAAGUGCAUUCUCUUAA
This 1242-nucleotide long non-coding RNA is filed under the name Melopsittacus undulatus (budgerigar). Its description in RNAcentral is "lncRNA (ENSMUNG00000002471.2)". Lineage: Eukaryota; Metazoa; Chordata; Aves; Psittaciformes; Psittaculidae. The record is from RNAcentral.